GAUUUGACCUCAGAUCAGGUAGGAUCACCGCCUGAACUUAAGCAUAUCAAUAAGGCGAGGAACAGAAACCAACAGGGAUUCCCCCAGUAGUGGCGAACGAAGUGGGAAAAGCUCAAGUUUGAAAUCUGGUGGUCUACUGCCAGAGUUGUAAGCUGA
RNAcentral lists this ribosomal RNA (156 nucleotides) under uncultured Ascomycota. RNAcentral's name for it is "partial 28S ribosomal RNA". It matches the Rfam family "Eukaryotic large subunit ribosomal RNA", at positions 1 to 153 of the family's 3401-position model. The record is from RNAcentral. Lineage: Eukaryota; Fungi; Ascomycota.